RNAcentral lists this long non-coding RNA (3470 nucleotides) under Homo sapiens (human). Its description in RNAcentral is "long independently transcribed non-coding RNA 2648 (LINC02648)". The record is from RNAcentral. Lineage: Eukaryota; Metazoa; Chordata; Mammalia; Primates; Hominidae.
GGAGAAGCCUGGUUUGAGUGAGUUUUUCCUGAAGCAAAAGGGAAGAGCUUAAUUUCAAAAGGAAUAUCUUGAAAGACGCAUCAACUCACCAUUAGAAAACAUGAAACGACAGAUUAUAUCCUAAGAUUGUGUGAACCUCUUACCUGGAAACCCGUACAAUUGCUUUAUCUACCAAUCCUAAACUAUUAUAUCUUGAUCUUUACUCAAUCCUAAUUACACACCCACAUUGAAAGACCUAUCUUAAUUCAGACUUCAAAAUCUUACAAACGUCCAAGUCCCUCCUUUGAAAUGCUACUAAGACUGCAGUAAGAAUACAUAGCAUGCAGUGACUGAGAGGAAGAGAGAUACUAACACUUGAAGUAAUCCAGUCUAUCAAUAGGAGAUGGACUGCUUUGAUUUAAAGCGAUUUACAAAAGGAUUUGGAUACCUCAUCUCUCCUGUUUCGCCAAGGUCUUGACUCAUCGCUGCAGAUGACUAAAUCCCAUUGAGCUAAAUCUCCUGAGGUUUUCCUGGAGUUGGAAGAAUCCAUCUAUUUUGCUAGGGAAGCAAAGAGAUGCUGGACCGUGACACGAAUGUGGCCAUUUCCACUGUCACCAAGCUCCCCUAGGUCUCCAUCAGCUUCAGUGACCUGGGCUCUUUCACUUCUCAGAGAUGCUCAUCUGUGCAUCUCCUGUCAGUUCUCGCUCUUUUUUUUGAGAUGGAAUCUCACUCUGUCGCCCAGGCUGGAAUGAAGUGGCACGAUCUUGGCUCACUGCAAUCUUCACCUCCCAGGUUCAAGUGAUUCUCCUGCCUCAGCCUUUCAAGUAGCUGGGAUUACAGGCGUGCACCACCAUGCCUGGCUACUUUUUGUAAUUUUAGUAGAGAUAAGGUUUCACCACGUUGGCCAGGCUGGUCUCGAACUCCUGAUCUUAAGUGAUCUGCCCGCCUUGGCUUCCCAAAGUGCUGGGAUUACAGGCAUAAGCCACUGUACCCGCCUCCUGUCAGUUCUCUUAAAAUAGCCGAGUGAUCUUUCCUUCCCAUUCAUCUGCUAUCUGUCUGCUGGCUCUUUCUUGCCAAUAAAGACUCAUUUUCUCCUAUCUAGACUUCUCUGGCAUGAGGAAUGAGCCAAUUUAAUGCAUGUCUUAGGUGGGAGUGUGGUGAGUUGCGGAAAGGAGGUUUGGGGAGCUGGAUUCUCUGUGAAAACGUGUAGCAAGGAGAAAGGUCACUGGGGAGAUUAUCAUCUGCAAGGCAUGAGAGGCUGUUCUAUUGUCAUUCACAUGUCAUCAGCCCAGUUAUUAAUACUUUCCUUCCUCUACCCCCUUGUCGUUGUUAAGGAGUUCCUUGGAAAAAACAAGUACUUUCCCUCCCCUGGUUGGUGUCUCUGUGUCUUCAAGAUACUGCCUAUUUUUUUGAGGUUUCAACACAAACAGAUCUAGUCAUGGCAAAAUGGUGACAUUAAUUCUGACUUCCCAGCUUCAACACUCUUCCCCUAAGAGGCAGAGAAUCCUAGCACAGUAAGGGGUCUUAAUGUUCUGGUCAACCCUUCUUGCCCACACUAGUCAUGGAAGUCUUUGUUGAAAUGCCCCCAGUGAAAGGAGGUUCAUUUCCACCCAAGGUAGCUCAUUCAAUUUUGCCACAACUGUGUGUGUGUGUGCGUGUGUGUAAAUGUGUGGGUGCAUGUGUGUAUGUGUGUGUUGGUCCAUGUGUGUGUGGCUUCCUCCACCCAUUAAUUGUAAUUCUAGCAGUUGGGGCCAUGAAGAAAAAUGCAACAACUCUUCUGGGCAGGAGGCUUUUAGAUGACUGAGUACUCUUUUGACAUGUUUCUUUAUUUCUUUACCAUCGAUCUCUUUCCUCCAGGAUUAGCAUAAUCAGUUCUUGUUUUUUUUUUUUUGUUUUUUUUUUUUUAUUUCUCUGAGAGGGACUCUUGGUCUAUCAGCCAGGCUGGAGUGCCGUGGUGUGAUCUGGGCUCACUGCAACCUCUGCCUCCCAGGAUCAAGCGAUUCUCCUGCCUCAGCCUCCCAACCCAAGCUGGCAGUUUUUCCGCUGGAACAAUUUUCUUAAGAAGUCGGUCACGCCUGUAAUCCCAGCACUGUGGGAGGUGGAGGCAGGCGGAUCACAAGGUCAGGAGAUCGAGACCAUCCUAGCUAACACGGUGAAACCCCGUCUCUACUAAAAAUACAAAAAAUUAGCCGGCCGUGUUGGCGGGCGCCUGUAGUCCCAGCUACUCGGGAGGCUGAGGCAGGAGAAUGGAGUGAACCCGGGAGGCGGAGCUUGCAGUGAGCCGAGAUCGCGCCACUGCACUCCAGCCUGGGUGACAGAGCGAGACGACGUCUCAAAAAAAAAAAAAAAAAAAAAAAGAAAAAAGAAAAAAAAAAGGUCAGUGGGUCUUUGGUGAAUUUCACUGGAUGUCACUGUAUUUGAUAAAAGCCACAUCCACAGAUCUUUUCAAGGUAAUCAGUUCACUCUCUUUAGCUUCUGUGGAAAUGGCUGAAGGAUACCCUAGUUCUCCCUAGAGGCUCUUUGACGUGAUUGACGUAUACCUUUACUCUCUUAAAAGGGCCCUUUAUUUAACUGAAUACACUGGCUUUUUGAUCUUUCUGAAGUUGAUCUAUUCAACCGUUGGUAGAUGUUUUGGUUAUUUCCAGUUUUGGGCUACUAUAAAGAAAGCUGCUGUAAAUGCUUGUUUACAAGUCUUUGUGUGGGCACAUACUUUCAUUUCUCUUAGGUAAAUAUUUAGGAGUGCAAUUGCUGGGUAGUAGGGGAAAGACCUUAUGGGAAACUGUUAAAUUUUUUCCAAAAUUGUUUUACCACUUUACAUUCCUACCAGCAAUGUAUGCCGCUUCUGAUUGUUCAAUAUUUUAAAUUUUAGCAAUUUUAGUGGCUCUAUAGUGAUAUCUCUUAAUGAUUUUAAUUUGCAUUUCCCUGAUGAUGACAACACAUUGGGUAUUUGUCAUGUGCUUAUUGACUAUUAACACAAAUGUAUUUGUAAAGUGUCUAUUCAAGUUGUUUUGCCCAUGUUUUUAAUGGGUUGUCUUUUUAUUAUUAAAUUGAAGGGAUUCUUUAUACAUUCUGGAUACAGGUUCUGUUUUAGAUUUAGGUAUUGCAAAUAGUUUUGCCCAGUCUGUGGCUCACCCUUUCAUUUUCUUAACAGUGUUUUUUAAUGAGAAAUUUUUUAUUUUGAUGAAGUGUAGCUAAUCAAUAUUUUCUUUUAUAGUUAGUGAUUUCUGGAUCCUGUCUAAUAAAUAUUUGUCUGCUAGGUCUUGAAGAUAUUCUCCUAUGCUUUUCCUAGAAGUUUUAUAGUAUUAAUUUUUACAUUUAGGCCUAUAAUCCACCAUGAAUUUACUUUUAUAUGCAAUGUGAGAUAUGCUUCCAGGUAUGUUUUAUUCUGUACGUAUAUGUAACUGUUCCAUCUCCAAUUACUUAAUGACUUACACUUUCCCAUUCAGUUGCUUUGGUGUCUCACUUGUAAAUAAAUUGACCAUAUGAAUUUA